UCGGUCUGAAUUGCACCGUAAUCGCCAAAACCUUGGCCUAAUUUGCAGCUAAUAGAUCUCGAGCGAGGGAGUCGGGAAGAAACCAGUGGCUUUGGAGGGAUCGGAAAUUAAGGGACUAGAAGAAGGAUGUGAUUCCUAUUAUUCUCCCCCUCCCCCUCCUGCACACGACCAUGUGUCUCCUGGCUGGGCCUUUGGGGACGCGGCCCCUGGCCCUCCGUGGCCUGUGUUCCUGUUGUUCGCUUCUCUCCCAGCGGACCACUGUGUCUGGGGCGCCGCGCCCUCCGGUGCGCUCAGACCUCGCGCCCUCCGACCGGCUUCUCCCAGUCCCCGGGAGGAGGCGCUGUGCCCGGGCUGGCCUCUGGUCCCUCCCAGCCGAUGUCCUGGAGCCCCCAUUCACAAAACCCCUCCUGGAAGAGGACACACACCCACCCACCCACACACACACACACACACCCCACACACGCACUACGAGAAGGGGAGUUUGAUCUUGUCUCAUUGGCGUCUCGGGUCUGAAAGGAAAAUCGUUUGGGUAAACAGCCAAGCUUCCAGGCUUAACGCCCGGCUCCCGCCCCCGCCCCUCCAUCCCCUCCUGCCUCCCCCACUCGCCUUCAACCCCACCCGCCACCCACACUCGGCUCCGCAGCCGGGCCCCGAGCGAGCUCCGCGAGUCCUGGCGAGAGCCGAGGGCUCCCCGGGUUCAAAGGGCCGCAGCCCCGAGGGAACGCCCUCCUUGCUGUGCCCCGGGGGGCAGAAGCGGACUGCUGGGCGGUGGGACCGGCCUGGGCCACGAAGUUCAUGGAUUCGAAUGCCAAAGACACAAUAUUGGUUUUGAUGCACUUGCAGUAGCACAAAGUGAAGUCCUGGCGGCCUUAUCCUAGUUUCAUAAAAGAAAAAAAAGUUAAAGAGAUGGGGAAGAUAAUAGCUAAAAAACAACAACAAAAAAGCUGAAUUCAAACUGCGAUGACUUUAUCAAAGGACUGUCCUACUGACAUUCAACAUAACAUCAAAAUUAACAUCACCUUGCCAAUAUUUGUAGUUUAGUCACAACUUUUCAACUACACUCUACUCUCUUUUGGGGAAAAGAAAGUUACGCAUGCUAGCUGUUUUCAAGUUUGGCAGAUGCACUUUGAAAAUACUCGUUGGAGAGUGAGAUUAAAAACAAAAACGCUGUGUAAUAUUUCUAUUACCAGGAGCAAAAUUGUUUCUAUGAAAAAAUAUUUGAGGAACAUCUUUAAUUUGUUGCUGGAAUUGAUUUGUGUGUGUUUGUUGCUUAAUUCUCUGUUCUGGUCAAAAAGCUGUCAAGUUGGAUCAGGCCGUUUGAUCCUAUCCUAUUUCCAGUCUUCUUCUAGGACCUGUGAGCACGGGCAAACACUUUUUAAUUAUCCUGAUCAAGUGUGGGGGACAUCCUUUUGCUGACCCCACUUGUAAUCAACUGUGAUCUCCUAGAAGCAGGCGAAUUGAUUGCUUCUGUCCUCCCCAACUAACCAGAAGAGUAGGUCUUGCAUUAUCCUGGGCCUUUGAAAAACCCAACUCAGUGAUUGAUUUUGUGGCUGCCGGUGGCAGCAAAUUCCUCAGCAUGAAUUCUACCAAGUGAAAAAGUAUUUCCUAUAACUUGCUUUAAAUUUCCUUAGCAUUAACUUCUCUGAGUGGCCCAGUCUCUUAUGGGACAAUGUAAUAAGGAUCUAUCGGUUUUACUGCCUAGUACAUAUCUUUAAUGCCUAAGUAAAUCUCUCUUAUUUUUC
Molecule: long non-coding RNA, 1742 nt
Filed under: Homo sapiens (human)
Lineage: Eukaryota; Metazoa; Chordata; Mammalia; Primates; Hominidae
Description: HSALNT0383515
Source: RNAcentral